Molecule: transfer RNA, 74 nt
Filed under: Carcharhinus falciformis (silky shark)
Lineage: Eukaryota; Metazoa; Chordata; Chondrichthyes; Carcharhiniformes; Carcharhinidae
Description: tRNA-Val
Source: RNAcentral
UUACACCGAGGAGAUACCCGCGCAAUUCGGGUCAUUUUGAACCUCAAAGCUAGCCUAUAAACUAGACCUUAUAA